AGCUGCAGUAAGCGACACGACUUGCGAGUUCUGGUUUAAUCGCUUCAAAACUAAAAAUUUCAGCUUGAGCGGCAAGCCAAGGAAAUCAAACAAGAGAUACUGGAUGAGGUAGAUCCGGAAACGUUAGACCAAGAGGCAUUUAUUGAAAGUGAGCCAAGUGAAAAUAGCUGACGUCUACCCGGUUCAUAAAAAAAUAAAGUCGGUUACGUUUCCCUGAUGGACCAUCGAUAUCUUGAGGUGAUUCAGCAGCCUGCAAGCUCUGGCCUGCGGAGCGUUUUCGCUGCUGCUGUGUUUGGUUUUAGGGCAAGCAAUC
This is a long non-coding RNA of Varroa destructor (honeybee mite), 313 nucleotides long. RefSeq lists it as uncharacterized. The record is from RefSeq and is a predicted model, not a curated record. NCBI's taxonomy places the organism in Eukaryota, Metazoa, Arthropoda, Arachnida, Mesostigmata, Varroidae.